This 189-nucleotide ribosomal RNA is filed under the name uncultured bacterium. RNAcentral's name for it is "partial 16S ribosomal RNA". It matches the Rfam family "Bacterial small subunit ribosomal RNA", at positions 338 to 524 of the family's 1533-position model. The record is from RNAcentral.
CCUACGGGAGGCAGCAGUGAGGAAUAUUGCGCAAUGGAGGCAACUCUGACGCAGCCAUGCCGCGUGCAGGAAGAAGGCGCUACGCGUUGUAAACUGCUUUUAUCCGGGAAGAAACCCCUCCACGCGUGGAGGGUUGACGGUACCGGAGGAAUAAGCACCGGCUAACUUCGUGCCAGCAGCCGCGGUAAU